AGAGUUUGAUCCUGGCUCAGGAUGAACGCUGGCGGCGUGCUUAACACAUGCAAGUCGAGCGAGAAAAGUUCUUCGGAGCUUUUCUAGCGGCGGACGGGUGAGUAACACGUGGGCAACCUGCCUCAUAGAGGGGAAUAGCCUUCCGAAAGGAAGAUUAAUACCGCAUAAUAUUGUUGAAAGGCAUCUUUUAACAAUCAAAGGAGCAAUCCGCUAUGAGAUGGGCCCGCGGCGCAUUAGCUAGUUGGUGAGGUAACGGCUCACCAAGGCGACGAUGCGUAGCCGACCUGAGAGGGUGAUCGGCCACAUUGGAACUGAGACACGGUCCAGACUCCUACGGGAGGCAGCAGUGGGGAAUAUUGCACAAUGGGGGAAACCCUGAUGCAGCAACGCCGCGUGAGUGAUGAAGGUCUUCGGAUUGUAAAGCUCUGUCUUUAGGGACGAUAAUGACGGUACCUAAGGAGGAAGCCACGGCUAACUACGUGCCAGCAGCCGCGGUAAUACGUAGGUGACAAGCGUUAUCCGGAUUUACUGGGCGUAAAGGGAGCGUAGGCGGAUAUUUAAGUGGGAUGUGAAAUACCCGAGCUUAACUUGGGAGCUGCAUUCCAAACUGGAUAUCUAGAGUGCAGGAGAGGAGAAUGGAAUUCCUAGUGUAGCGGUGAAAUGCGUAGAGAUUAGGAAGAACACCAGUGGCGAAGGCGAUUCUCUGGACUGUAACUGACGCUGAGGCUCGAAAGCGUGGGGAGCAAACAGGAUUAGAUACCCUGGUAGUCCACGCCGUAAACGAUGAAAUACUAAGGUGGUAGGGGGCCCUAAGCCCUCUGUGCC
Molecule: ribosomal RNA, 825 nt
Filed under: uncultured bacterium
Lineage: Bacteria
Description: bacterial SSU rRNA
Rfam family: Bacterial small subunit ribosomal RNA
Source: RNAcentral